AUGAACGCUGGCGGCGUGCCUAAUACAUGCAAGUCGCGCGAACAGACGCGGAGCUUGCUCCUCUGACGUUAGCGGCGGACGGGUGAGUAACACGUGGAUAACCUACCUAUAAGACUGGGAUAACUUCGGGAAACCGGAGCUAAUACCGGAUAAUAUAUUGAACCGCAUGGUUCAAUAGUGAAAGACGGUUUUGCUGUCACUUAUAGAUGGAUCCGCGCCGCAUUAGCUAGUUGGUAAGGUAACGGCUUACCAAGGCAACGAGGCGUAGCCGACCUGAGAGGGUGAUCCGCCACACUGGAACUGAGACACGGUCCAGACUCCUACGGGAGGCAGCAGUAGGGAAUCUUCCGCAAUGGGCGAAAGCCUGACGGAGCAACGCCGCGUGAGUGAUGAAGGUCUUCGGAUCGUAAAACUCUGUUAUUAGGGAAGAACAAAUGUGUAAGUAACUAUGCACGUCUUGACGGUACCUAAUCAGAAAGCCACGGCUAACUACGUG
Molecule: ribosomal RNA, 496 nt
Filed under: uncultured bacterium
Lineage: Bacteria
Description: partial 16S ribosomal RNA
Rfam family: Bacterial small subunit ribosomal RNA
Source: RNAcentral